Molecule: transfer RNA, 69 nt
Filed under: Indochinamon bhumibol
Lineage: Eukaryota; Metazoa; Arthropoda; Malacostraca; Decapoda; Potamidae
Description: tRNA-Gln
Rfam family: tRNA
About the family: Transfer RNA (tRNA) molecules are approximately 80 nucleotides in length. Their secondary structure includes four short double-helical elements and three loops (D, anti-codon, and T loops).
Source: RNAcentral
UAUGUAUUGGUGUAUGAAGCACAAAAAAUUUUGAUUUUUUAAGAGAGGGUUGAAUUCCCUUUUAUGUAA